GAUGAACGCUGGCGGCGUGCCUAAUACAUGCAAGUCGAGCGAACGGACGAGAAGCUUGCUUUUCUGAUGUUAGCGGCGGACGGGUGAGUAACACGUGGAUAACCUACCUAUAAGACUGGGAUAACUUCGGGAAACCGGAGCUAAUACCGGAUAAUAUUUUGAACCGCAUGGUUCAAAAGUGAAAGACGGUCUUGCUGUCACUUAUAGAUGGAUCCGCGCUGCAUUAGCUAGUUGGUAAGGUAACGGCUUACCAAGGCAACGAUGCAUAGCCGACCUGAGAGGGUGAUCGGCCACACUGGAACUGAGACACGGUCCAGACUCCUACGGGAGGCAGCAGUAGGGAAUCUUCCGCAAUGGGCGAAAGCCUGACGGAGCAACGCCGCGUGAGUGACGAAGGUCUUCGGAUCGUAAAACUCUGUUAUUAGGGAAGAACAUAUGUGUAAGUAACUGUGCACAUCUUGACGGUACCUAAUCAGAAAGCCACGGCUAACUACGUGCCAGCAGCCGCGGUAAUACGUAGGUGGCAAGCGUUAUCCGGAAUUAUUGGGCGUAAAGCGCGCGUAGGCGGUUUUUUAAGUCUGAUGUGAAAGCCCACGGCUCAACCGUGGAGGGUCAUUGGAAACUGGAAAACUUGAGUGCAGAAGAGGAAAGUGGAAUUCCAUGCGUAGCGGUGAAAUGCGCAGAGAUGUGGAGGAACACCAGUGGCGAAGGCGACUUUCUGGUCUGUAACUGACGCUGAUGUGCGAAAGCGUGGGGAUCAAACAGGAUUAGAUACCCUGGUAGUCCACGCCGUAAACGAUGAGUGCUAAGUGUUAGGGGGUUUCCGCCCCUUAGUGCUGCAGCUAACGCAUUAAGCACUCCGCCUGGGGAGUACGACCGCAAGGUUGAAACUCAAAGGAAUUGACGGGGGCCCGCACAAGCGGUGGAGCAUGUGGUUUAAUUCGAAGCAACGCGAAGAACCUUACCAAAUCUUGACAUCCUUUGACAACUCUAGAGAUAGAGCCUUCCCCUUCGGGGGACAAAGUGACAGGUGGUGCAUGGUUGUCGUCAGCUCGUGUCGUGAGAUGUUGGGUUAAGUCCCGCAACGAGCGCAACCCUUAAGCUUAGUUGCCAUCAUUAAGUUGGGCACUCUAAGUUGACUGCCGGUGACAAACCGGAGGAAGGUGGGGAUGACGUCAAAUCAUCAUGCCCCUUAUGAUUUGGGCUACACACGUGCUACAAUGGACAAUACAAAGGGCAGCGAAACCGCGAGGUCAAGCAAAUCCCAUAAAGUUGUUCUCAGUUCGGAUUGUAGUCUGCAACUCGACUACAUGAAGCUGGAAUCGCUAGUAAUCGUAGAUCAGCAUGCUACGGUGAAUACGUUCCCGGGUCU
Molecule: ribosomal RNA, 1372 nt
Filed under: uncultured bacterium
Lineage: Bacteria
Description: bacterial SSU rRNA
Rfam family: Bacterial small subunit ribosomal RNA
Source: RNAcentral